GGUUAAGCGACUAAGCGUACACGGUGGAUGCCCUGGCAGUCAGAGGCGAUGAAGGACGUGCUAAUCUGCGAUAAGCGCCGGUAAGGUGAUAUGAACCGUUAUAACCGGCGAUUUCCGAAUGGGGAAACCCAGUGUGUUUCGACACACUAUCAUUACGUGAAUACAUAGCGUAAUGAAGCGAACCGGGGGAACUGAAACAUCUAAGUACCCCGAGGAAAAGAAAUCAACCGAGAUUCCCCCAGUAGCGGCGAGCGAACGGGGAGGAGCCCAGAGCCUGAAUCAGCAUGUGUGUUAGUGGAAGCGU
This 304-nucleotide ribosomal RNA is filed under the name Salmonella enterica subsp. enterica serovar Meleagridis. RNAcentral describes it as "partial 23S ribosomal RNA". It matches the Rfam family "Bacterial large subunit ribosomal RNA", at positions 1 to 310 of the family's 2925-position model. The record is from RNAcentral. Lineage: Bacteria; Pseudomonadati; Pseudomonadota; Gammaproteobacteria; Enterobacterales; Enterobacteriaceae.